GUGACUAGUUUAAAGAGAAGAAACAUACGUACUUCUGCAGCUUCAUCUCUCACUCUCUCUCAGCAAAAGGGGUUUUCUCCCACUCUUACUAAUAAUUAUCCAUCCAAUUCCCUGAAAUCUCUAGAAUCUAUCCUUAAAUCCCAAAUGUAAACCGAUAUCUAGAGCCCUAAACAGAAAUUAUAUUCUCAAAUUAGGUAUGUGUUUGAAUCCUAAAUUCUUUUGGGUGGUACAUGCAACUAGCGAGAAUGAUUAUUUCUUCAAUUUCACCUUUAAUUUCUCUAGCCCAUUUGAAAAUAUACAGGAAUCGAGGUAUUUUUUCUUGAUAGCCAUCGCCUAAAGCCCUUUCUCAGUGUCGACUGCUCUUUCGCUGGGUAAGUUAAAAACUUCUUUCCCAAAAUAAGGCUCAAUCAUAUACCCCAAAUAAGGCUCCUCUUCUCUCACUUUGAACACAGACGAGAAAGUUCCCAAACCCAGGUGCUCUCCCCAAAUCCCUAAAUCCAACACAAGUGACUUUUGCUAUAUCAUUAUGGAAAAAAGUUAUUGCUAUUGCUUGAAUUUGCAACUGCAAUUAACACUACACUGUUUAAUCGAUGCUACUGAUGAGAGGAUGCAACAAAAAAUGGAAGAAAUGGAAGAGAGGAUGGAACAAAGAAUGCUGGAAAAAUUCAAUGCACAAAAGGAUGCUAUGGAACAAGAAAUUACAGUGAACGUCGUCGCACGUCUUCAACGUCUCAACCCCGAUUUGCAACUUGAUCCUAACAUGCUAAUGUUCAGUGCUCGUGCAUCUGGAGAAGUUUUCUCUACACAACAAGCUGCUAUUCAACUAAUCAAUCGUCCAACUGCUUGCAGUUACAAUCAAGGUGGUGUAGAUCAAGAAAUGGAAGAUGGAGGCAAUGAAGAUCUUGAAGGGCAAUGACUUUAUUUAUCCUCUUUUGUAGGUGGUGUAGAUCAAGAAAUGGAAGAUGGAGGCAAUGAAGAUCUUGAAGGGCAAUGACUUUAUUUAUCCUCUUUUGUAGGUGGUGUAGAUCAAGAAAUGGAAGAUGGAGGCAAUGAAGAUCUAGACCUUACAUAAGAUGAAUUUUGAAUUGCUAUUAGAACGGUUUUCCAUGCGUUACCAUAGACCAAUUUUUCAGUAGUAUAAUGUCUUCUCCCAUUUUUUUCUUUUCUUUAAGGUUGAGAUCAGAGGUAAUUAUUGUUUUAGAUGUGGUUGACUCUCUUAGUCGUGUGAUAUUUGGGGAAUUUAUUCGUGCUUGUAAGUUAUAAGGAUUUGCUCACUGAUUGUUAUAAAAGAUAAACAAUAUAAAAAGGAAUAGAAAUUACAUAACUAGUCUGCGCAUUAUAUGAAUGGAUGAGAAUUUGUAUUAACAUCCGGGAGAAUACCCUUUAUGUACUGAGCGCUAUCUUAGUGCUUGGUAUUUUGUAAUUUAUAAAACUUUAGUUUCUCAUUUUAAAAGUAUGUGGUACAAAAAUGGCUUAAUUUCAUUAAUAGAUGUCUACAUUGUGGAAUUGAGAUAUUUUAUAGAAAAGUGACCAUGUUGGACAAUAAACAUUUCCCUCUUUGACUAGUAUAGUAUUAUUGUAUUUUCGUUUGAUGCACUGUUUCUAUUGAGAUCCUACUCUUACAGGAAAAAGUUGUUGCUGCAAUACUAAUUUUUUUAUGGGUGGUUUGAUUUGUUCAUCUUUUCCACUUAUGUUCUUGUUGAUAUGCUGGUUGUUGUUGCACUUCACAUUUAUUUAAUUAAUUGAUUGCCUUUUAUCCAAAAAAAUAAGAAUGGAUAAAAGUUGGUUGAAUCUUAGGAAUAGAGGAGACCAAAGAUACAAAGAUGGAGUAAACGGUUUUCUUGUUGCAUUUCACCUUUGUUCUUACUAAUUUUUUUCUAUAUAAUGCAGGAGGUUCAACAUGAUAGGAAUUGGACGAGGCAAAGGUCGAGGUGGAACUAGCUGUGGACGUGGCCAUUUUCAAGGACGUAGCAAUUCUGGAGCGACGUCUCAGCCACAAUUGCAGCUAAGGGGAAAUACUAGAGCAUCCUUAGAGACAGGAGAAUCAAAUAAUCCUUGUAAAGAACCUAUCGAGACAAGGCAAAUAUCAAGCAACCCUUGGCAGAGACCUUCUGUAGAGACAGUUUCAUCAAGAAAUUUGGACAUAAUUUCUUCCAGGAACAAAAAAAGAGGAAGAGGAAAAUAUAAAUCUAAAAUUGUAGAUAUUAAAACUAAGUACGGCAGAAAAAUCACAAUUACGAUUCUAGAUGACAUUGAUAUAGUAGUAGGUGCUAGGGCAAGAGAUAUUGUUAAUUAUUGUGGUUUGAUCAUGAGGAGCACUAUCUCAUUCCGAGAUAGGAAUUGACAAAAGAUUGUUUCAAAAUAUGAAGAAACAAUGUGGUUAAAGGUUAAGGAUAAGUUUGAAGUUCUUGGCAGUGUGCAAGAGCAUGUGUUGCAAGCCUUUGUCAUUAGUACUAUGCAAAGGCUUUUUAGAGCAUGGAAAGCUCGAUUAAGCAUUCACUAUUCUCGCCACAUUGCUAAUGGAAAUAUAUUAUCUCAUCGACUCGAAGAUGUUGAGUGUAACGACCCGACCAGUCGUUUUGAGCUUUUGCACUUCGCUUGUCAGUUCUCGGGCAUGACU
Non-coding RNA from Nicotiana tabacum (common tobacco), 2620 nucleotides. NCBI's taxonomy places the organism in Eukaryota, Viridiplantae, Streptophyta, Magnoliopsida, Solanales, Solanaceae. The record is from RefSeq and is a predicted model, not a curated record.